GGUGUGUCACAAGGACAAACCGAGACGUGUCCAGACUCUGCUUGUAUUUGGUGGCCCAUUCAUAAAAUUAGGGAGGUGACGACUGAGCCGAUAUAACUUAAGAAGGUUUGCAAAUUGAGAUUUUCGUGGGUGUCGGGAAUUUUUAUCGCAGUAUCAUCUGUGGGCCUAUUUAGGAUGAAAACCGAACCGGAGUAGUGCGUAUUUUUGUAUCAAAAGUGGUUAGAGCAUCGUUGGUGGCACACUAAAUUUUUUUUGGCAUGCACUUAAAUUUAACUCAUGAGCGACUUUAAGCACCGCUUCCUUAACAGAAUUUCGCCUCAAGUCCGGUAAAUUUUAUCUCGGGGUUUAUAAUUGCGGUCGUAGUGAACAUUGUGCUUAUCUCGGUCUGUCGUAUAUUCAUAUAUAAGCUGAGUUUCUUAUUUUGGUUACCUCCUAAGUGAAUCAAUUGACUUUCGCAAUCAAAAUGUUUUCCAUGUGCUCGAAGCCCAGACCAAGAACACCUCCUCAUAUUGUCCAGCACUCCCAGCUCGGUCCAGUUGGGAAACAAAUUAAAGGAGGAUAUCUGCUACGAUAUAAAAAGCACCUCCUAUGGAACCGUUGGUCGGAAGAGUGGGUGGUUCUUUACGAUGACUCGACAAUGGCCUGGUUUACGGAACGAGGGCGUUCGUCACCGGCUGGAAAAAUUCUCGUCAAAGAAGCGCCUGAGAUGCUAGCAAUUGCACAUUGGACUGGACAAAUACCAAAAAGGCCUCCACUUCCAGAUGGUUGCAAAGUUACUCAACUGAUAGCAUUGGGAUCAAGAAGGAAAAGGUCAAAAGUCUAUUGGAUGCUGGCGAAAUCGGAGCAAGAAGUCAGUGAGUGGAUCAAUGCCAUAACGAAAACGCUGCCGCCGCCACCACAAAUCGAACUGGUAGUGGAUAAACCGCAUCUUAUGAACGUCCUACGUAGACCUUUGGUACGAAUAAGACCUGCCACAACAGGAGAGGUAAAAGCAAGAAAGUCACAUUCAACACAAAACUGCCUCGUGCAAAAUCCUCUAGUUAAAAGCGAUGCUGCCGUUGCAAUACUUAGCAAAAAAAUAGACUCAAAAGGAUCAUUGGCUUGCGCCCUACCUUGGGGUCAUGGUUGGGGUUGGGCAACACUUCCUAACGGUGUGUGGAGUGGAGGUCUUACAUGGUCACAAUGCGAGGAUACAUUUACGUUACAUGCGCUGCCCACAACACACUGCACAAAUCUACUGGGGGCUUCCAGUGCAGCCAUUUACCAUGCAGACAUCGGAGGAUUCGACUUCCAUACCGGCGUGGAAGACCUUGGCGGCGAGGAUUUCGACUACGCUAUGGACUGUGGCGAUUUUAUAUUUUAAAUGAAGCAAAGUAUCUAAUUUCACGAACGGCGUUCUAAUCGAAAAAGGAAACUCAACGAUAGUAAAAUUGAAGUUAAUUCCUGCCAGUCGUGUGAUACGUGACUGCGUUUGGGACCCACAUUCGAAAGAAAAUCGCAAAAGUAAAUAACCAUUAAAAAAAUAGAAAAGAUUGUUGCACGUGCCAACAGAGAAGGGUGAAUCGACAAGACUAUAGGCUACACGAAAAAGGAUCUAUAUAUUUUGCAAUAUUUUCCUUUUCAUAAAAGAGGAAAAAUUUCAGAACGUCCCAUCGGAAGGAGCAAAUUUUAUAAGAAAAAUCUCGUUUUGUUAAGUUAACGACGCUGAAUCCAUCGAUUUUUCAUUGUUUCCUAUUGAGUGCGUCUCGUCGGAAGCGACGACGAAGAUAAGGGAAAACUUCAUCAUUGAGAAUCAACUGAACUAACAAAUCGUCUUCUUAUCCCUCCUAGAACAUGAACAUGAAACUCAUCCCCUUUCCCGUUUUUGGGCAAAAGGGACGCGGACAAUGACAUAAACAACUAACUACAACGUAAGCUCCACAUGAAGUGGAAACAUUGAGCAAGGUGAACAGGACUACCGACGCAGGAUAAUCAGGAUUGAGUUAAGCUGGGUGAUCAUUUGUUCCCAAAGCCUGUGUAAGCUAAGAAAACCGCAUUGGGAUUUCACUCGAUAAUAGCAAUCUAGGGAAUGAAUGAUUCCCAGCUUAGCUAAGAAUUCAAUUUGCAUUACUUUAAUGAUAUGUAUGUAUGUAUAUGUAACUGAAACCGUUAUUAUAAAUUUAGUCUUUAUAAUAGUUGUAAUUUUAGUGAUUUCGAAUGGAGUAUUCUUACCGAAUUCGUAGAGCAUUUGAUAAAUAGAUUUUCUAAAAACUCAACGUAAGGAGCAGCAUUAUAACCGAAACCUCUUUCAUAUUUGUAAAAAAGUAACCAACAUUUUUAUAUGCAUUUUUUUUGGACGAACAACCGUAUUAAUUAUUAGAUACUGCAUACAGAAAAAAAGAUACAUAGCAAGUCAGCCUUCGAAAAUCGUGAAAACAAAGAGUUCGAAUUACGCCUAGUGUGCUACCGUAAUCAUUACUGCAAACCAAUCGUUAAAUUGUGCCUGAAAAAUCGAAACGGAAAACUGAAAAGAAAAGAUUAAUUACAAGGAACAGGAAUGAAAAGAUACAAUCAUUUCAUAAACUAUGAUUUGUGAUUUUGCUGCUCAAAUAUAAUAAUAUUUGGUUACCUCCCGGAAAUGUCGAAAAUCGCUGUUAAACUUAGCAAUCAUAUCAACACUACAACGCUCCGUUAUUAGGGACAACGUAACAAGGAACACAUACGUAUGUAUGCACUGUAGUCGUGUUUAGUUUCAAACUUAAUUAGGAAUACUUUAUAUGAGAAUGUAGAUGCGUUUUUCCUACUCUUUGGUAAUUAUUUGGAUGAUUUAUAUAUACAGACGUUUGGAGGCAAAUUUAUCUGAAAGGAAUAAGUUUCGGGAUCAAACGCAAUUAUUUUUAAUGACGGGCUCGGCAUUGAUAUAAAAGAAAACUAUUAUUUACUCCUAAUUAGUUCCAGAAAAGCCAAUAAAUCCGAUUGCAAGGAUGUUCAAUCGACUAUCUCCGCCCUCUAUGGAUAUAUCCGAAAUUUGAGUCUUAUUUUCAUCACUACCAAACAAAUUUUCUCA
This 3046-nucleotide unclassified non-coding RNA is filed under the name Hermetia illucens (black soldier fly). Its description in RNAcentral is "uncharacterized LOC119653214, transcript variant X1". The record is from RNAcentral. Lineage: Eukaryota; Metazoa; Arthropoda; Insecta; Diptera; Stratiomyidae.